UAGGGAAUCUUCCGCAAUGGACGAAAGUCUGACGGAGCAACGCCGCGUGAGUGAAGAAGGAUUUCGGUUCGUAAAACUCUGUUGUUAGGGAAGAAAAAAUGUAUAGUAACUAUAUACAAAAGAGACGGUACCUAACCAGAAAGCCACGGCUAACUACGUGCCAGCAGCCGCGGUAAUACGUAGGUGGCAAGCGUUGUCCGGAAUUAUUGGGCGUAAAGCGCGCGCAGGUGGUUUAGAAAGUCUGAUGUGAAAGCCCACGGCUCAACCGUGGAGGGUCAUUGGAAACUAAUAAACUUGAGUGCAGGAGAGAAAAGUGGAAUUCCUAGUGUAGCGGUGAAAUGCGUAGUGAUUAGGAGGAACACCGGUGGCGAAAGCGGCUUUUUGGCCUGCAACUGACACUGAGGCGCGAAAGCGUGGGGAGCAAACAGG
RNAcentral lists this ribosomal RNA (429 nucleotides) under Verrucomicrobiota bacterium. RNAcentral describes it as "Verrucomicrobia bacterium partial 16S ribosomal RNA". It matches the Rfam family "Bacterial small subunit ribosomal RNA", at positions 355 to 776 of the family's 1533-position model. The record is from RNAcentral. Lineage: Bacteria; Pseudomonadati; Verrucomicrobiota.